RNAcentral lists this transfer RNA (80 nucleotides) under Actinomycetales bacterium. Its description in RNAcentral is "tRNA-Thr". It matches the Rfam family "tRNA". Rfam says of the family: Transfer RNA (tRNA) molecules are approximately 80 nucleotides in length. The record is from RNAcentral. Lineage: Bacteria; Bacillati; Actinomycetota; Actinomycetes; Actinomycetales.
GCCGGAGUCCCCUAGUGGCCGAUGGGACCGACCUUGUAAGUCGGCACAACACACCGUGGGUUCGAAUCCCACCUCCGGCU